This 391-nucleotide unclassified non-coding RNA is filed under the name soil metagenome. Its description in RNAcentral is "partial contains 5.8S ribosomal RNA, internal transcribed spacer 2, and large subunit ribosomal RNA". The stretch from base 1 to 122 matches the Rfam family "5.8S ribosomal RNA", at positions 35 to 154 of the family's 154-position model. The record is from RNAcentral.
GAUGAAGAACGUAGCGAAAUGCGAUACUUGGUGUGAAUUGCAGAAUCCCGUGAACCAUCGAGUCUUUGAACGCAAGUUGCGCCCGAAGCCAUUAGGCCGAGGGCACGCCUGCCUGGGCGUCACACGUCGUUGCCCCCCCCAUCUACUCCUUCGGGAUUGCGGGGGGCGGAUGAUGGCCUCCCGUGCGCCUCGCCGCGCGGUUGGCAUAAAUGCCAAGUCCUCGGCGACGCACGCCACGACAAUCGGUGGUUGCGAAACCUCGGUUGCCCGUCGUGUGCGGUCGUCGCGCAUCGAGGGCUCGAAAAAAUUGCCGGGCUCCGGCUCGGCUUUCAACGCGACCCCAGGUCAGGCGGGGUUACCCGCUGAAUUUAAGCAUAUCAAUAAGCGGAGG